RNAcentral lists this ribosomal RNA (252 nucleotides) under Megamonas funiformis YIT 11815. RNAcentral's name for it is "partial 16S ribosomal RNA". It matches the Rfam family "Bacterial small subunit ribosomal RNA", at positions 524 to 776 of the family's 1533-position model. The record is from RNAcentral. Lineage: Bacteria; Bacillati; Bacillota; Negativicutes; Selenomonadales; Selenomonadaceae.
UACGUAGGCGGCAAGCGUUGUCCGGAAUUAUUGGGCGUAAAGGGAGCGCAGGCGGGGAACUAAGCGGAUCUUAAAAGUGCGGGGCUCAACCCCGUGAUGGGGUCCGAACUGGUUUUCUUGAGUGCAGGAGAGGAAAGCGGAAUUCCCAGUGUAGCGGUGAAAUGCGUAGAUAUUGGGAAGAACACCAGUGGCGAAGGCGGCUUUCUGGACUGUAACUGACGCUGAGGCUCGAAAGCUAGGGUAGCGAACGGG